UUGACCGAUUGAAGUCCCUUUUUGUUGUGUGUAGCAUUUGCGACACAUGAUGAACCUUGAAGUGGUCUCUAUGAUCCAUCCUGUUGAUGCACAUGCAUUGAUUGUGUGGUCCAUUGAGCUUUGCUUGGUCUUUUGGAUACUGAACAUGAUGUGGCUUUUGGUUCUUUCAUGAUCCUUGUUUGGCCCUUGUUUGCUAUUCUCUAAAUGACGGUUCAUGCACGCCUAGGCUCGUACCUGCGUGAUGUUCUAUGUCGAAGAGGAAUGC
This 265-nucleotide unclassified non-coding RNA is filed under the name Roldana gentryi. RNAcentral describes it as "partial external transcribed spacer". The record is from RNAcentral. Lineage: Eukaryota; Viridiplantae; Streptophyta; Magnoliopsida; Asterales; Asteraceae.